GACGAACGCUGGCGGCGUGCUUAACACAUGCAAGUCGAACGGGAUCCAAAGGCUUUUUGUUUUUGGUGAGAGUGGCGAACGGGUGAGUAACACGUGAGUAACCUGCCCCCUUCUUUUGGAUAACCGCAUGAAAGUGUGGCUAAUACAGGAUAUUCCAGGCUGGUCGCAUGAUUGGUUUGGGAAAUGGUUUGGUCUGGUGGGGGAUGGGCUCGCGGCCUAUCAGCUUGUUGGUGGGGUGAUGGCCUACCAAGGCGGUGACGGGUAGCCGGCCUGAGAGGGUGGGCGGUCACACUGGGACUGAGAUACGGCCCAGACUCCUACGGGAGGCAGCAGUGGGGGAUUUUGCACAAUGGGCGCAAGCCUGAUGCAGCGACGCCGCGUGAGGGAUGAAGGCCUUCGGGUUGUAAACCUCUUUCGCUGGGUUGAAAGGCCAUGCUUUGGGUGUGGUUGAUUUGAACUGGUAAAGAAGAACCGGCUAACUACGUG
RNAcentral lists this ribosomal RNA (486 nucleotides) under uncultured bacterium. RNAcentral's name for it is "partial 16S ribosomal RNA". It matches the Rfam family "Bacterial small subunit ribosomal RNA", at positions 28 to 507 of the family's 1533-position model. The record is from RNAcentral.